AGCAGCCGCGGUAAUUCCAGCUCCAAUAGCGUAUAUUAAAGUUGUUGCAGUUAAAAAGCUCGUAGUUGAAUUUUGGAUUCUUCCAAUUGGUCCAUCUUUUAGAUGAGUACUGGUUGUGUGGGGUCUAUCCGCCUGGUGAUACGUAAUGUCCUUUAUUGGAUGUUGCGGGUAGUCAGGACCUUUACCUUGAAAAAAUUAGAGUGUUUAAAGCAGGCUUAUGCCGGAAUACAUUAGCAUGGAAUAAUAGAAUAGGACGAAGUUGUUUUAUUUUGUUGGUUUCUAGGACAACCGUAAUGAUUAAUAGGGAUAGUUGGGGGCAUUAGUAUUCAAUUGUCAGAGGUGAAAUUCUUGGAUUUAUUGAAGACUAACUACUGCGAAAGCAUUUGCCAAGGAUGUUUUCAUUAAUCAAGAACGAAAGUUAGGGGAUCGAAGACGAUCAGAUACCGUCGUAGUCUUAACCAUAAACUAUGCCGACUAGGGAUCGGAUGAUGUUAAUUUUUAAUGACUCAUUCGGCGCCUU
This 520-nucleotide ribosomal RNA is filed under the name uncultured Archaeospora. RNAcentral describes it as "SSU rRNA". It matches the Rfam family "Eukaryotic small subunit ribosomal RNA", at positions 569 to 1089 of the family's 1831-position model. Lineage: Eukaryota; Fungi; Glomeromycota; Glomeromycetes; Archaeosporales; Archaeosporaceae. The record is from RNAcentral.